CCGAAUAGUGUGCGGUAAGCUCGUAGUUGGAUUUCUGUCGAGGACGACCGGUCCAUACAAUGUAUGUGCAUCUGGUUCGGCUUCGGCAUCCUCUCGAAAGACGUUUCUGUGCUUGAUUGCAUGGUGCGGAGUUCGGGACUUUUACUUUGAGGAAAUUGGAGUGUUCACGGCAGGCUAUCGCCAGAACAUAUUAGCAUGGAAUAAUACUAUAGGAUUUAGGUUCUAUUUUGUUGGUUUCUAGAAUCUGAAUAAUGAUUAAUAGGGACAAUUGGGGGCAUUCGUAUCAAGGCGUCAGAGGUGGAAUUCUUGGAUUGCCUUGCGACGAACUACUGCGAAAGCAUUUGCCAAGGAUGUUUUCAUUGAUCAAGAACGAAAGUAAGGGGAUCGAAGACGAUUAGAUACCGUCGUAGUCUUUACCACAAACUAUGCCGACUAGAGAUGGGACAUCGUUCUUUUACGACUUGUUCCGCACCUUAUGAGAUAUCAAAGUUUUUGGGUUCCGGGGGGAGUAUGGGCGCAAGCUUGGAACUUAAAGGAAUUGACGGAAGGGCACCACCAGGGGUGGAACCUGCGGCUUAAUUUGACUCAACACGGGAAAACUCACCAGGUCCAGACAUAAUAAGGAUUGACAGAUUGAUAGCUCUUUCUUGAUUUUAUGGGUGGUGGUGCAUGGCCGUUCUUAGUUCGUGGAGUGAUUUGUCUGCUUAAUUGCGUUAACGAACGAGACCUUAACCUGCUAAAUAGGAGCGUCUAUCUUCGGAUAAGCGCCUUUCUUCUUAGA
RNAcentral lists this ribosomal RNA (781 nucleotides) under uncultured eukaryote. RNAcentral's name for it is "SSU rRNA". It matches the Rfam family "Eukaryotic small subunit ribosomal RNA", at positions 603 to 1415 of the family's 1831-position model. The record is from RNAcentral.